CUUCGUGUCCAACCUCCCACAAGAAAUGAUCCUUUUAUAGGGAACCCGAUAUGUCUCAAUCUGCACUUCACUCAGAGCCGCUGGAUAUAGGGCACUGGUCCCUGCUCAAAAAUAACUCCGCCGAAACGCCUUUCCACCUAAAAAAUCCCCACGAAUGACUCCCAGGGAAGAAAUACAGCUCCCAUAAUUAAGGGAGGCAGCGGUCAGAGGGGAAUGCAGCCCGGAGGUAAAAAAAAAAAAAAAAAAAAAAAAAAAAAGGAAAAAAGAGAGAAAGAAAAAGAAAGAAAGAAAAAGGGCAGAGAGGGAGAGUUUUUAUUCCUGUGCCCGCUGCACUGGGCCGUCAUUAGCAGCAGGUUUAUCAGGACGAGCCUCUGAGGCAGCUCCGGGUGCAUGGGGAGAAGGCGUCAGCUCAUGACGAGCAGAGAAGAGGAGAGAUUAAGGAGCAGAGCCCAACUCCGAGAAAAGAGCUGGCCAGAAAACCGCUGCUCAUACGGACAUGAGGAUUUCCAGCUCUCCGCUGAGCCCCCCUUUUAUUUGCUUUGGUGGGGUGGUUUGUUUUCUCUGCCACCAAGGCUGGUCAAGGGAAAAGCGAGCUUGGGGGUUAGCAAGGAAAAGUCGUGUACAAUUUCUGGGAAAGAAAAAAAAAUAAUAAUAAAAAUAAAACAAACAAAAAAUCCCACACAA
This is a long non-coding RNA of Oxyura jamaicensis (ruddy duck), 684 nucleotides long. RefSeq lists it as uncharacterized. The record is from RefSeq and is a predicted model, not a curated record. The transcript has 2 exons. Lineage: Eukaryota; Metazoa; Chordata; Aves; Anseriformes; Anatidae.